Molecule: ribosomal RNA, 301 nt
Filed under: uncultured bacterium
Lineage: Bacteria
Description: partial 16S ribosomal RNA
Rfam family: Bacterial small subunit ribosomal RNA
Source: RNAcentral
CAGCCGCCGCGGUAAUACGUAGGUGGCAAGCGUUGUCCGGAAUUGUUGGGCGUAAAGGGCUCGCAGGCGGUUUCUUAAGUCUGAUGUGAAAUCCCCGGGCUCAACCUGGGAACUGCAUUUGUGACUGUAGAGCUGGAGUGCGGCAGAGGGGGAUGGAAUUCCGCGUGUAGCAGUGAAAUGCGUAGAUAUGCGGAGGAACACCGAUGGCGAAGGUAAUCCCCUGGGCCUGCACUGACGCUCAUGCACGAAAGCGUGGGGAGCAAACAGGAUUAGAUACCCAGUAGUCCCUGUCUCUUAUACA